RNAcentral lists this ribosomal RNA (402 nucleotides) under bacterium. Its description in RNAcentral is "partial 16S ribosomal RNA". It matches the Rfam family "Bacterial small subunit ribosomal RNA", at positions 355 to 776 of the family's 1533-position model. The record is from RNAcentral.
UGGGGAAUUUUGCACAAUGGGGGAAACCCUGAUGCAGCGACGCCGCGUGAUUUAGAAGGCCUUCGGGUUGUAAAAAUCUUUUCUAUGGGAAGAAAAUGACAGUACCAUAGGAAUAAGGACCGGCUAAUUACGUGCCAGCAGCCGCGGUAAUACGUAAGGUCCGAGCGUUGUCCGGAAUCAUUGGGCGUAAAGGGUACGUAGGCGGGUAAGCAAGUUAGAAGUGAAAUCCUAUAGCUCAACUAUAGUAAGCUUUUAAAACUGCUCAUCUUGGGGUAUGGAAGUGAAAGUGGAAUUCCUAGUGUAGCGGUGAAAUGCGCAGAUAUUAGGAGAAAUACCGGUGGCGAAGGCGACUUUCUGGCCAUAACCUGACGCUGAGGUACGAAAGCGUGGGUAGCAAACAGG